Molecule: transfer RNA, 72 nt
Filed under: Paludibacteraceae bacterium
Lineage: Bacteria; Pseudomonadati; Bacteroidota; Bacteroidia; Bacteroidales; Paludibacteraceae
Also listed under: 1 other name
Description: tRNA-Arg
Rfam family: tRNA
About the family: Transfer RNA (tRNA) molecules are approximately 80 nucleotides in length. Their secondary structure includes four short double-helical elements and three loops (D, anti-codon, and T loops). Further hydrogen bonds mediate the characteristic L-shaped molecular structure. tRNAs have two regions of fundamental functional importance: the anti-codon, which is responsible for specific mRNA codon recognition, and the 3' end, to which the tRNAs corresponding amino acid is attached (by aminoacyl-tRNA synthetases). tRNAs cope with the degeneracy of the genetic code in two manners: having more than one tRNA (with a specific anti-codon) for a particular amino acid; and 'wobble' base-pairing, i.e. permitting non-standard base-pairing at the 3rd anti-codon position.
Source: RNAcentral
GGCUUUGUAGUUCAAUGGAUAGAACAAAGGUUUCCUAAACCUUAGAUUUGGGUUCGAUUCCCAGCGGAGCUA